Molecule: ribosomal RNA, 429 nt
Filed under: uncultured bacterium
Lineage: Bacteria
Description: bacterial SSU rRNA
Rfam family: Bacterial small subunit ribosomal RNA
Source: RNAcentral
AUGAACGCUAGCGGGAGGCCUAACACAUGCAAGUCGAACGGGAUUGAGAGCUUGCUCUCAUGAGAGUGGCGCACGGGUGAGCAACGCGUAUGCAACCUACCUAUAACUGAGGGAUAGCCCAUAGAAAUGUGGAUUAAUACCUCAUAGUUCUUUUGUUCCGCAUGGGAUGAAAGAUAAAGCUCCGGCGGUUAUAGAUGGGCAUGCGUGACAUUAGCUAGUUGGUAAGGUAACGGCUUACCAAGGCUACGAUGUCUAGGGGUUCUGAGAGGAUGAUCCCCCACACUGGUACUGAGACACGGACCAGACUCCUACGGGAGGCAGCAGUGAGGAAUAUUGGUCAAUGGGCGCAAGCCUGAACCAGCCAUCCCGCGUGCAGGAUGAAGGCCCUAUGGGUCGUAAACUGCUUUUAUACACCAAGAAAAACACCCA